RNAcentral lists this ribosomal RNA (254 nucleotides) under uncultured bacterium. Its description in RNAcentral is "partial 16S ribosomal RNA". It matches the Rfam family "Bacterial small subunit ribosomal RNA", at positions 524 to 776 of the family's 1533-position model. The record is from RNAcentral.
UACGGAGGGUGCGAGCGUUGUCCGGAAUCAUUGGGCGUAAAGGGCGCGUAGGCGGCCAGCACAAGUCAGUUGUGAAAUCUCCGAGCUUAACUCGGAAAGGUCAACUGAUACUGUGCGGCUAGAGUGCGGAAGGGGCAACUGGAAUUCUUGGUGUAGCGGUGAAAUGCGUAGAUAUCAAGAGGAACACCUGCGGCGAAGGCGGGUUGCUGGGCCGACACUGACGCUGAGGCGCGAAAGCCAGGGGAGCGAACGGG